Molecule: ribosomal RNA, 449 nt
Filed under: uncultured bacterium
Lineage: Bacteria
Description: partial 16S ribosomal RNA
Rfam family: Bacterial small subunit ribosomal RNA
Source: RNAcentral
AACGAACGCUGGCGGCAGGCUUAACACAUGCAAGUCGAACGCACUCUUCGGAGUGAGUGGCAGACGGGUGAGUAACGCGUGGGAAUCUACCCAGUCCUUCGGAAUAGCUCCUGGAAACGGGAAUUAAUACCGGAUACGCCCUUUUGGGGAAAGAUUUAUCGGGAUUAGAUGAGCCCGCGUAAGAUUAGCUAGUUGGUGGGGUAAUGGCCUACCAAGGCGACGAUCUUUAGCUGGUCUGAGAGGAUGAUCAGCCACACUGGGACUGAGACACGGCCCAGACUCCUACGGGAGGCAGCAGUGGGGAAUAUUGGACAAUGGGCGCAAGCCUGAUCCAGCCAUGCCGCGUGAGUGAUGAAGGCCUUAGGGUUGUAAAGCUCUUUCACCGGUGAAGAUAAUGACGGUAACCGGAGAAGAAGCCCCGGCUAACUUCGUGCCAGCAGCCGCUGUAA